Dipodomys ordii (Ord's kangaroo rat) is the source of this 58-nucleotide non-coding RNA. The record is from Rfam. Lineage: Eukaryota; Metazoa; Chordata; Mammalia; Rodentia; Heteromyidae.
UGGCUCAGUGGUAGAGUGCUUGCCUCACAUGCAUGAGGCCCUGGGUUCGAUUCCUCAG